Molecule: ribosomal RNA, 416 nt
Filed under: Segatella copri
Lineage: Bacteria; Pseudomonadati; Bacteroidota; Bacteroidia; Bacteroidales; Prevotellaceae
Description: partial 23S ribosomal RNA
Rfam family: Bacterial large subunit ribosomal RNA
Source: RNAcentral
AAGAAAGUAAGAAAGGGCGUAUGGCGGAUGCCUAGGCUCACGGAGGCGAUGAAGGACGUGAUAAGCUGCGAUAAGCUUCGGGUAGGUGCAAAUAACCCUUGAUCCGAAGAUUUCCGAAUGGGACAACCUAGCCGUCUGAAGGACGGUUACUCUUACCAAUGUAAGAGAGCUAACGCAGGGAACUGAAACAUCUUAGUACCUGCAGGAAGAGAAAAUAAAUGAAUGAUUCCCCCAGUAGUGGCGAGCGAACGGGGAACAGCCCAAACCGUUGACGUCGCAAGGCGCCAGCGGGGUUGUAGGACCGCGACAUUGUAUGCAAAUCGUGAACAGAACACUUUGGAAAAUGUGACCAUAGACGGUGAUAGUCCAGUAUGUGAAGCGAAAUGCAGCAUAGCGGUAUCCUGAGUAACGCGGGA